Molecule: long non-coding RNA, 2064 nt
Filed under: Gossypium raimondii (Peruvian cotton)
Lineage: Eukaryota; Viridiplantae; Streptophyta; Magnoliopsida; Malvales; Malvaceae
Description: long non-coding RNA (GRAI_LNC001721)
Source: RNAcentral
ACCCAAUUCUAGAAACAUACUUAAGGGUGUAUCUACAAUUUAAGUUUAAAUCAACCAAAUCCUUAACUUCUAUGGGGAUAACUCAACGCUUGGUAAAAAAUGAAAUUACGUCAGCAGCAUGGUAUUCAAGAACAGCAGCAAGGUAAACCGGAGAACCGGUCCCCACACGUUGAGAGUAACGCCCUUUCUUCAAGUACCGGCCAAUUCGACCGACGGGAAACUGUCAUCCGGCUUUCACUGAACGAGAAACCGUAUCCAUCACUUCAAGUACAAAUUGGAGGAAAAGACUUAAAAUCCGAAAUGAAAUCUCGCAGUGAAAUUUUCUCGAGAAAAUAUUUGUGAUUUCGUAUCUGAUAAUUUGGAUCUAUUUAUGCGAGGAGAGAAAAAUGGGAGAUAUUUGGCUUACGGAUUUGGAGAUUUUGAGCCGUUUAAUUGGUUGUUUAAUCGACGGUGUAUAUGCAACUCGUUUGGCAAUCCUCGUGAAAUGGAACAAUCCAAUCAAGUUGAUGUAAGGGGAUAAAUAUUCACUUAACUAUUGAUUACUACAGUUCUUUUUCUGAUACUAAAAAAUUCUAUCGAUUUAAUCUUAAUUCCGUUAAAAUAAUGUUCAUUCAUCAAUCAACUUAGAACCGCAUUGCAGCAGAUAUUCCUCGAGGAUUUCUACCAGUUACCUUGCUCUCGGUCGAGUCUUUAGUAGGCCUUUUGUGCUGUCAUCCGUUCUUAUAGAAGACUCCAUUGAAGCAGGUAUCGGCCCUUAAAACCGUUAACAUUCUAUCUUAAUUCCGUGAAAAUAAAGUUCAUUCAUCGAUCAACCUAGAACAGCAUUGCAGCGGAUGUUCCUCAAGGAUUCCGACUAGUUACCUUGCUCUCGUUGGAGUCUUUAGUUAGGCCUUUUGUGCUGUCAUCCGUUCUUACAGAAGACUCCAUUGAAGCAGGUAUCGGCCCUUAAAAGGUAGCCGUGAAAAACAGGGGUUACAAUUGAAGUUGACCGCGACAUGAGUGCUCGAUGUAUACGAUCCUUUGCCAACAUUGGUAUCCCACAUGGUUAGUGGCAAAAAGCAACAGAAGUCAACGAAGAACAAAAACAAGAACAUAACCGGAAAGGAAGAACAGAAGGGCAAAACCUCCGCACGCGGUUGCGAUGCUAUAGACCCGGUAAGAUGAUUGUUAGAUUUUCAGUACGGGAAGAUCGAUUGAAGGAAUGUUAUCACUGACGAUAAUCAAUUUGAUAAAAUAAGCACAAACCCAUAUAAUCUGAAUUUCAGUUCAUUCAUUUCAAACAAAACAUAUUCUAAACAACAUUACCAACAUUUUCCUACAACCAAAGUACACAAAAGGAACCUACAUACAUUAACAGAUAAAUCAAAACAAACCCUAUAAUAGACAAACAACUAAGCCUUCUUAGGUGAUUUCUUUGGAGACUUUGUAGCCUUAGAUGGCGACUUAGGCUCUUUUGCAGCCGCUUUCUCGUUUUUCUUUGGUAAAAGAACUGGGUUAAUAUUGGGUAAAACACCACCAUGAGCAAUAGUCACACCAGCUAAAAGCUUCCCAAGCUCUUCAUCGUUUCUCACUGCUAAUAGAACAUGCCUUGGAAUGAUCCUAUUCUUCUUGUUGUCUCUUGCAGCAUUACCAGCUAACUCAAGAACCUUUAAAUAAUUAAAAAAGAAAAACAAACCCAAUCUUAAAAACAUACUUAAGGGUGUAUCUAUACUUUAAGGUUUCAAUCAACCAAAUCCCCAAAUUCAAUGGGGAUAAUUCAACGGUUAAAAUAUGCCUAUAGUCCCUAAACAAGUACAGGGACUAAUUUCAUAAUUCUUUAAAAGUAUAGGGACUAUAAGCACAUUUUAACCUAAUUCAACGCUUGGGAAAAAGUAAAUUUACCUCAGCAGCAAGGUAUUCAAGAACAGCAGCAAGGUAAACCGGAGCACCGGUUCCCACACGUUGAGAGUAUCGCCCUUUCUUCAAGUAUCGGCCAAUUCGACCAACGGGAAACUGUAAUCCGGCUUUCACCGAACGAGAAACCGGCUUCUUCUUUGGACCGCCGCCUUUCCUUCCUCCAGCUCC